UGGGGAAUAUUGCACAAUGGGCGCAAGCCUGAUGCAGCCAUGCCGCGUGUAUGAAGAAGGCCUUCGGGUUGUAAAGUACUUUCAGCGGGGAGGAAGGCGAUAAGGUUAAUAACCUUGUCGAUUGACGAUACCCGCAGAAGAAGCACCGGCUAACUCCGUGCCAGCAGCCGCGGUAAUACGGAGGGUGCAAGCGUUAAUCGGAAUUACUGGGCGUAAAGCGCACGCAGGCGGUCUGUCAAGUCGGAUGUGAAAUCCCCGGGCUCAACCUGGGAACUGCUUUCGAAACUGGCAGGCUAGAGUCUUGUAGAGGGGGGUAGAAUUCCAGGUGUAGCGGUGAAAUGCGUAGAGAUCUGGAGGAAUACCGGUGGCGAAGGCGGCCCCCUGGACAAAGACUGACGCUCAGGUGCGAAAGCGUGGGGAGCAAACA
Molecule: ribosomal RNA, 427 nt
Filed under: uncultured bacterium
Lineage: Bacteria
Description: partial 16S ribosomal RNA
Rfam family: Bacterial small subunit ribosomal RNA
Source: RNAcentral